AGAAGCAAUAAUGUUAAUAUGAGUAACAAGAAAUAAUUCUCCUAGCACAUGUGUAUAUCAGAACGAAUAACUCACUGAUAGUUACCAAAAAUAAAUAUAAUUAGCUAAUCAAGUUAUUACUAUGAAUUGGUAGUCCAACACAGGAGUGCAGUCAAGGAAAGAUCUAAAAGAAGUAAAAGGAACUCGGC
RNAcentral lists this ribosomal RNA (188 nucleotides) under Eptesicus fuscus (big brown bat). RNAcentral's name for it is "partial 16S ribosomal RNA". The record is from RNAcentral. Lineage: Eukaryota; Metazoa; Chordata; Mammalia; Chiroptera; Vespertilionidae.